Long non-coding RNA from Morone saxatilis (striped sea-bass), 634 nucleotides. RefSeq lists it as uncharacterized. Lineage: Eukaryota; Metazoa; Chordata; Actinopteri; Moronidae. The record is from RefSeq and is a predicted model, not a curated record. The transcript is spliced from 2 exons.
GUAUUUUACACAGUGCAUUUAGUUUUUAUUCUUACUUAUGAAAUUGUGUUUGUUUCUUUUAAAAUGCAUAAUUCACAUUAUGUUGUAAAUUGCAUAAAUCAGUGGGCACACAUUCACAUGAAUACACUGGUGAAUAAGGCAGCAUCCAGCCAUAACACUAGGUACUGCUUUCUACAUUAAGCUUCUUCUAUGAUGAUGAUUUUUGUUUUUGUGUCUCAGCAUGUACCUAAAUACCUGUUACGGGCAUCGAAGCCUGCAGUCACAAGCGAUGAAGCAGCUGCACCUCAUCACAGUGACACCAGGAAGGCUUCAGUCAAGUUAAAGACAAGAAAAAGAAAGAAGCGUGCAACUUGAGCUCCUCACACCAAGAAGACUGUAUCGUCUUCAAUAUCUCAGCAGAUUAAGGUGCUCCUGUCAGAGGUGACCACAUGGUGGCAGCAUUGUGUUAGCAGACGAGUUCCUGCCAUAAACAUCAUGUGAAGGAAGAGAGCAGAAGCUUUCUGCUGGAUGUUUCUUUUCACAGUGAAUGUUGUUCAGUAUCCUGUGUAAAAACUGUUGAAUGUUUGUCAUUUUGCCUCUAUUUUAUACUUUUGUAACUGUCAGUAGAUUUAUAGUAAACGUUACUCAAACAGGA